AGUCAUUAUCAUGCAACACAUUUUUUUCUCCAAAAACGAAUCGGACCUUUGAUAAUAGCAAAACGUGAUUGGAGAAUUCCGAAUGCUCGCUCUACAUCUUUUCUACAUGCUUUUUGUUGUACAGCAAAAUAUUUUUUCUUUUGAGUCACAAAUUCGUAAAUAUUUUGCACUAUAGUUAACCAUUUUGGAUAAAUACCAUCAGCCAAGUAAUAUCUCAUAUUGUAUUCUUUUCCUUGAAUGGUAUAAUGAACAUGAGGAGCAAUAUCUAAAGCAAGAUUAGAGAAGAGGUGGGAAGACUCCAACACAUUAAUAUCAGUAUUAGUGUCUGGUAAUCCAAAAUAUGCAUGUUAUAUCCAAAGAUCAUAAUUUGACACAGCUUCAAGGAUUCAGACCCCAAAUGUAAAGCUAAGUGCUAGAAUCCUCCACAACCUCAAGGAUAUCUUCUAUCUGCAAUAGCAAUACAAGGGUCAAGCAUUGAGACAUGAUUUGAUAUAACAUCAAAAGCGAGCAACCGGCUUACAGUUUCAAGUAAACAACACUUGAAUGGGCAUCAUUUUUGUUGAUGACCUCCUUAACCAAACCUAAAUAGACCAUGACUAAUUGGACAACCCAUGGGAACCCAAAUAAUAUAAUUUUUUAUUUUCCGUCAAAACCACAAAAACAUAUUUUUUGAC
RNAcentral lists this small RNA (674 nucleotides) under Arabidopsis thaliana (thale cress). RNAcentral describes it as "ATSL046510". The record is from RNAcentral. Lineage: Eukaryota; Viridiplantae; Streptophyta; Magnoliopsida; Brassicales; Brassicaceae.